This 75-nucleotide transfer RNA is filed under the name Chloroflexota bacterium. Its description in RNAcentral is "Chloroflexi bacterium tRNA-Met". It matches the Rfam family "tRNA". Rfam says of the family: Transfer RNA (tRNA) molecules are approximately 80 nucleotides in length. Lineage: Bacteria; Bacillati; Chloroflexota. The record is from RNAcentral.
CGCGGGAUAGAGCAGUGGAAGCUCGUCGGGCUCAUAACCCGGAGGUCGCAGGUUCGAAUCCUGCUCCCGCUACCA